AUACGGGGGGUGCAAGCGUUAAUCGGAAUUACUGGGCGUAAAGCGCGCGUAGGCGGCUUGCUCAGUCGGAUGUGAAAGCCCAGGGCUCAACCUUGGAACUGCAUACGAUACUGGCAAACUAGAGUGUGAGAGAGGAUAGUGGAAUUUCCGGUGUAGCGGUGAAAUGCGUAGAUAUCGGAAGGAACAUCAGUGGCGAAGGCGACUGUCUGGCUCAACACUGACGCUGAGGUGCGAAAGCGUGGGUAGCAAACAGGAUUAGAAACCCUAGUAGUCC
Molecule: ribosomal RNA, 274 nt
Filed under: uncultured bacterium
Lineage: Bacteria
Description: partial 16S ribosomal RNA
Rfam family: Bacterial small subunit ribosomal RNA
Source: RNAcentral